UCCACUCAAUACUGUAAGUCGCUCUGGAUAAGAGCGUCUGUUAAAUUACAAAAU
This is a non-coding RNA of Salmo salar (Atlantic salmon), 54 nucleotides long. The record is from Rfam. Lineage: Eukaryota; Metazoa; Chordata; Actinopteri; Salmoniformes; Salmonidae.